RNAcentral lists this ribosomal RNA (657 nucleotides) under Clostridium beijerinckii. Its description in RNAcentral is "bacterial SSU rRNA". It matches the Rfam family "Bacterial small subunit ribosomal RNA", at positions 824 to 1488 of the family's 1533-position model. The record is from RNAcentral. Lineage: Bacteria; Bacillati; Bacillota; Clostridia; Eubacteriales; Clostridiaceae.
AGGGGUUGUCAUGACCUCUGUGCCGCCGCUAACGCAUUAAGUAUUCCGCCUGGGGAGUACGGUCGCAAGAUUAAAACUCAAAGGAAUUGACGGGGGCCCGCACAAGCAGCGGAGCAUGUGGUUUAAUUCGAAGCAACGCGAAGAACCUUACCUAGACUUGACAUCUCCUGAAUUACCCUUAAUCGGGGAAGCCCUUCGGGGCAGGAAGACAGGUGGUGCAUGGUUGUCGUCAGCUCGUGUCGUGAGAUGUUGGGUUAAGUCCCGCAACGAGCGCAACCCUUAUUGUUAGUUGCUACCAUUUAGUUGAGCACUCUAGCGAGACUGCCCGGGUUAACCGGGAGGAAGGUGGGGAUGACGUCAAAUCAUCAUGCCCCUUAUGUCUAGGGCUACACACGUGCUACAAUGGCUGGUACAGAGAGAUGCUAAACCGUGAGGUGGAGCCAAACUUUAAAACCAGUCUCAGUUCGGAUUGUAGGCUGAAACUCGCCUACAUGAAGCUGGAGUUGCUAGUAAUCGCGAAUCAGAAUGUCGCGGUGAAUACGUUCCCGGGCCUUGUACACACCGCCCGUCACACCAUGAGAGUUGGCAAUACCCAAAGUUCGUGAGAUAACGCGCAAGCAGCGACCUAAGGUAGGGUCAGCGAUUGGGGUGAAGUGG